GACGAACGCUGGCGGCGUGCUUAACACAUGCGAGUCGAACGGCAAGGCCCUGCUAUCGUGGGGUGAUCGAGUGGCGAACGGGUGAGUAACACGUGAGUAACCUGACCUUGACUUUGGGAUAACUUAAGGAAACUGGGGCUAAUACCGGAUAGGAGCUCAUGCUGCAUGGUGGGGGUUGGAAAGUUUCGGCGGUUGGGGAUGGACUCGCGGCUUAUCAGCUUGUUGGUGGGGUAGUGGCUUACCCAGGCAUUGACGGGUAGCCGGCCUGAGAGGGUGACCGGCCUCAUUAGGACUGAGAGACGGCCCAGACUCCAACGGGGGGCAGCAGGGGGGAGUAUGGCACAGUGAGCGGAAGCCUGUGGCAGCGACGCCGCGUUCGUGAUGACGGCCUGCGGGUUGUGAACCGCUUUCGCCUGUGACGAAGCGUGAGUGACGGUAAUGGGUAAAGAAGCACCGGCUAACUACGUG
This 468-nucleotide ribosomal RNA is filed under the name uncultured bacterium. RNAcentral's name for it is "partial 16S ribosomal RNA". It matches the Rfam family "Bacterial small subunit ribosomal RNA", at positions 28 to 507 of the family's 1533-position model. The record is from RNAcentral.